Molecule: long non-coding RNA, 311 nt
Filed under: Zostera marina
Lineage: Eukaryota; Viridiplantae; Streptophyta; Magnoliopsida; Alismatales; Zosteraceae
Description: long non-coding RNA (ZMAR_LNC000826)
Source: RNAcentral
AGUCGAUCUCAUUUCUCCCUGGAAAUGUCGACGUUGCUCAAAAAGUCGAUCUCAUCUUUUUCUGAGGAUGUCGAUGUGUCUGCCGAUCCUUUUCUGAAGAUGUCGGAUUUUUGACUACAAGUCGAUUUCAUUUCUCCCUGGAAAUGUCGAUGUUACUCAAAAAGUCGAUCUCAUCUUUUUCUGAGGAUGUCGAUGACUGCCGAUCCUUUUCUGAAGAUGUCGGAUUUUUGACAACGAGUCGAUCUCAUUUCUCCCUGGAAAUGUCGACGUUGCUCAAAAAGUCGAUCUCAUCUUUUUCUGAGGAUGUCGAU